GCAAGUCGAGCGAAGUUUUUAUUAACUUAGCGGCGGACGGGUGAGUAACACGUGGGAACUUGCCCUUUAGUCAGGAUUAACUCAUGGAAACGUGAGCUAUUACCGGUUACACCCUUCGGGGGAAAGAUUUAUCGCUAAAGGAUCGGCCCGCGGUGGAUUAGGUAGUUGGUGAGGUAAAAGCUCACCAAGCCGACGAUCCAUAGCUGGUUUGAGAGGAUGAUC
RNAcentral lists this ribosomal RNA (222 nucleotides) under uncultured bacterium. RNAcentral's name for it is "partial 16S ribosomal RNA". It matches the Rfam family "Bacterial small subunit ribosomal RNA", at positions 57 to 305 of the family's 1533-position model. The record is from RNAcentral.